UAAAAGCUGACAGUUGCAAGCACUGU
RNAcentral lists this non-coding RNA (26 nucleotides) under Mus musculus (house mouse). Lineage: Eukaryota; Metazoa; Chordata; Mammalia; Rodentia; Muridae. The record is from RNAcentral.